CGCUGUGUCCAUUUCUUUUACUGUCUAUGGUUCUGAAGAGAGUUAAAGAUGAACUGGAAGCAGCCGAAAGGUCUGUGAGUGAGUCCACUGGGUCCAGACGGCUCCAAAUUUCAAGAACAAAAGAAGAGAAAACGUCUUCCUCGAGAGCUCUCGGAUGAAUUUGAUAAAGAACCCCAAAAGCCAGUUUAGGUCCGGGUGAAGAGGGUCCAGUCUCGUCAGAGAGCCAGGAUGGGUCUGGCCAUGUGGAGGCUCAGUUCAUCAGGCCAUGGUUUCAAAGCUGGCCCCAGUUUUUGGGGGUAGUCUGGGAUGACGUG
Molecule: long non-coding RNA, 314 nt
Organism: Carassius auratus (goldfish)
Lineage: Eukaryota; Metazoa; Chordata; Actinopteri; Cypriniformes; Cyprinidae
Exons: 3
Source: RefSeq, a predicted model, not a curated record